AUGGCGAAGGAGACCGAGUACUACGACGCGCUCGGCGUCAGCCCCGCCGCCUCGGACGACGAGAUCCGCAAGGCCUACUACAUCAAGGCGAGGCAGGUGCAUCCUGACAAAAACCCCGACGAUCCGCAGGCGUCCGACAAGUUUCAGGCUCUUGGAGAGGCCUACCAGGUCCUGAGUGACCCUUUGCAGAGAAAGGCCUACGACGGUUAUGGCAAGACUAGCAUAUCCAGGGACAAUAUUCUAGAUGGUGCUCUGGUCUUCACCCUCCUGUUCGGGAGCGAGCUGUUCGAGGACUACAUUGGGCAUCUUGCAAUGGCAACAAUGGCUUCCUCAGAGAUGGCCAGCGACAACGGCAGCGCCGAGAAGCUUCAGGACAGGCUCAAGGGUGUACAAAGGGAACGAGAAGAGAAGCUAGCUAGAUUCCUCAACAAGUUCCUCUCGCAGUAUGUGAGUGGUGACAUGGAGGGAUUCGCUCAUCGUGCCGAAUCUGAGGCGAAGAGGCUUUCCAGCACUUCAUACGCACUGGACAUUCGUCGCACCAUCGGAUACGUUUACUCCCGACAAGCUGCCAAGGAACUCGGCAAGAAGGCCAUGUACCUGGGAGUUCCGUUCCUGACCGAGUGGGUGAGGAACAAGGGCCACCUCUGGAGGUCACAGAUCACGGCAGCGAAAGGAGCUCUGCAGCUGCUGCAGCUGCAAGAGGAGGCAUGCCGGCAGAGUGCCAAGGACGGGGGCGCUGCCACUGAGAAGGACGUCGAUAUGCAGAUGAGAAUGAACAAGGACCUGAUGAUGAGUUCAAUUUGGAAGCUCAACGUUGUGGAUAUUGAAGUCACGCUCCUACAUGUCUGUGAAAUGGUGCUACAUGAAAAUAAUGUCAAGAAAGAGGACCUCAAGGCCCGUGCAAUGGCCUUGAGAAAUCUCGGAAAAAUAUUUCAGAGGGAAAAAGAGGCAUUACCUGGGCCAUCAAAGCCAACCAUUCUCGACGAUGACAGCAGCUCAGAUGAAAGUUCAGACGAGGAGGCAUCACGGACAGUGACAUAUCGGACUCCAGCGCUUACUCAGGGAAUUGGCAGGCUAUUUAGAUGCUUAUGCAACCCCGCAUAUGACGUUAACGAUGACUUCGAACCCCGGAAAUGA
Molecule: ribosomal RNA, 1137 nt
Filed under: Triticum aestivum (bread wheat)
Lineage: Eukaryota; Viridiplantae; Streptophyta; Magnoliopsida; Poales; Poaceae
Description: partial small subunit ribosomal RNA
Source: RNAcentral